GCCAUAAUAGUUUAGUGGUUAGAAUACGUCGUUGUGGUCUACGAUCAUUAGUAAUCCGACGUGACCCAUGUUCGAUUCAUGGUUAUGGCAC
This 91-nucleotide transfer RNA is filed under the name Ceratocystis platani. RNAcentral describes it as "tRNA-His". It matches the Rfam family "tRNA". Rfam says of the family: Transfer RNA (tRNA) molecules are approximately 80 nucleotides in length. Their secondary structure includes four short double-helical elements and three loops (D, anti-codon, and T loops). Further hydrogen bonds mediate the characteristic L-shaped molecular structure. tRNAs have two regions of fundamental functional importance: the anti-codon, which is responsible for specific mRNA codon recognition, and the 3' end, to which the tRNAs corresponding amino acid is attached (by aminoacyl-tRNA synthetases). tRNAs cope with the degeneracy of the genetic code in two manners: having more than one tRNA (with a specific anti-codon) for a particular amino acid; and 'wobble' base-pairing, i.e. permitting non-standard base-pairing at the 3rd anti-codon position. Lineage: Eukaryota; Fungi; Ascomycota; Sordariomycetes; Microascales; Ceratocystidaceae. The record is from RNAcentral.